Molecule: ribosomal RNA, 460 nt
Filed under: uncultured bacterium
Lineage: Bacteria
Description: partial 16S ribosomal RNA
Rfam family: Bacterial small subunit ribosomal RNA
Source: RNAcentral
CCUACGGGAGGCAGCAGUGAGGAAUAUUGGUCAAUGGACGAGAGUCUGAACCAGCCAAGUAGCGUGAAGGAUGACUGCCCUAUGGGUUGUAAACUUCUUUUAUAAAGGAAUAAAACGAGGCACGUGUGCCUUUUUGCAUGUACUUUAUGAAUAAGGAUCGGCUAACUCCGUGCCAGCAGCCGCGGUAAUACGGAGGAUCCGAGCGUUAUCCGGAUUUAUUGGGUUUAAAGGGAGCGUAGAUGGGUUGUUAAGUCAGUUGUGAAAGUUUGCGGCUCAACCGUAAAAUUGCAAUUGAUACUGGUUGUCUUGAGUACAUUUGAGGUAGGCGGAAUGCGUGGUGUAGCGGUGAAAUGCAUAGAUAUCACGCAGAACCCCGAUUGCGAAGGCAGUUUACGAAACUAUGACUGACAUUGAUGCACGAAAGUGUGGGUAUCAAACAGGAUUAGAUACCCGAGUAGUC